Long non-coding RNA from Gasterosteus aculeatus aculeatus (three-spined stickleback), 1580 nucleotides. RefSeq lists it as uncharacterized. Lineage: Eukaryota; Metazoa; Chordata; Actinopteri; Perciformes; Gasterosteidae. The record is from RefSeq and is a predicted model, not a curated record.
UGAACUGAGAGGACUAUGAAAUUGGAAGGUCUGACCUACGGUGGGACUUCUUGCUUUUUCUUUGCUUUGCCUACCUUUGCUGCUCGCAUUGCCUAGCAACCUGCUGCGCUUGACUGUGGAAGCCUUUAAAUUGAAAAACAGAAAAUGCAGUUGGAGAAGGUAAUCUUCUUAUUUUAUUUAAUUUAGGAGGAUAUGCUUGCCCUCCACAGCAUGAUUUAAUUUUGUCUGAGAAAAGAACAUUUUCCGGUUUGAAAUUAAAAGACUAAAAUGGUUAAGCCUUGUACUUAUAGCUAAAAGUAAUAUUGCAAUCUUAAGGGAGAGGAAAUCUAUCGAUACAGUCAAUAAAAAGAACAGCAGCUGAACAAAUAUGUCUCGUGCAUUAUAGGAAGUAUUAGAUGAUUGUCCAAACCUUUGGUUGAACUUGUAUGGGUGGGGGUGUUACGUGAAGAGAGCUGUAUGCAUGUAUGUCUCUCUCUCUGGCCCUCUCCUACCCUUGUCCUGCAGGUGAGAGGUGGAGGAUUGGCUGGCCCCAACCCUCACAUUCACGGCCAUUUCAGCCAAUCAGAGACAGAGGACACUAUAUAAAGCCUCUCUCUCUUUUUGCUCUCCCUCUCUCUGACUUUGUCCAUUAAGGUUUGCGGUGGGAAAGUGGUACUGAGGUAAUACACUCAGAGACACACACUUGUUACUCCAAUAGGUUAUGGGUUGUUGCCACCAAUGUAUUUUUAUUACUUUUGGACACUUUUGUAGAUAAGAGAGUCAAGCCUUUUGUUUUCUUUUUCCUUUCCACACAAUGUUGAGCUAGGCCCUAUUUCAUUGUACUUAUUUUGUUUGGCACAACCCCAACAGUUCACCCCCCCCUCUACUUUACCUAAGUAUUGUAAAUGAAUCUAUUUUCUUUAACUGCUUUACAUUGUCCCUGAGUUCUUCCUUCAUUGGUUGUCAGCGUUAUUGUUUCCACUUAAAAAGGGAAACGUAACAAUUGGGGCUUGUCCGGGAUAAACCUGUGUUUUUCCUUCUGACAAUCAAUGGGAAAUUACUCAUGGUGUUUGUUUGGCAUGUGGUUGAAAAUGAGUUUCAAUUUACAAGAUUUAGUUGACAAUCCCUCAUUUGAAAAAAUUGAUGUGUGUCGCAAGGAUGAUUUAUUGUGUAUUGCAGCACACUGACAUACUGUUCACAAGUACGGACUUAAGAAAGAAAUCAAGAUGCAGGUCCUAGAAAAACUAGUUGAUUUAAAUGUCCUUAGUUCUGCCCAGCCUGUGGGUAAAGUUUCAGCUAAUGAUGUUUCUUCUACUACAGCAGGGGUUUUGUCUCAGACCAUCGAGGAGCCAGCUGCACUAUUCACACCUCCUGCAGACCAUGCUACGUUACCUCGUUUUGACUCUUUCUCUCCUCAACAAUCUCAGGGGUUAGUUCAAGUUCCAAGCUCAAGGUUCCCCUCACUCUCCUUCAGCUGGAGGCCAAAGAAAAAGUCGACCUGACCUCUGGUCAUUCAGCCACUGAAAAGGCCAAAGGACGCACACACAAAAGAACCUUGUCAUUUCAGCACGCUCCAAAGGUGACCCGCCACCACCCCUGAC